UUUUUUUUUUUUUGGGAUCUCUUUUUAUGUGUAUGUGUGCUCUUUCCGUACACAUGAAAAGAAGCAUCCUUAGAAUUUAUGUUGGUAUGAUUCAGUUUCAUAUUUAUUUAUUUGAUUCUGGAUUAUGUCCUUUUGCAGCCGAAAGAAAUGGUCGGUUUCCUCUUACUGCUUAAUCAACUUAUAUGCAAAUUCAGCACCUUGGUCCGUGACAUAUUGGAAGAAGUGUUUCCUACUAUUGCUGGUAGGGUAUUUAGUGCCAUCCAAAGGGUUGUUGAUUCUUCAGUUACGGAAACCAAUACGGAGGUAGUAACCAUUAGCUCAAGUCUGAAAUUAAACAUAUUCUUGCCUAGUGGUUUAUCUCUAUCAUCAUCUGCUGCAUUCAUUGUAUUGCUUUAUGAUUUGAUUUAAACUUAUUUUCAUCUUAUGCAAUUAGUAUUUCCUCUUUUAACCUCCAGUUCAACUGUGAAACACUGCAACAGCAUCUCUAAUGGGUUAUCACAAGCAUAUGCUCCAUGUGCAAUGCCUUUUCUGUGUUCACUGAACCUUCUUUUUUUUCUUUAUCAGGAAAUUCGUGAAUUGCAGGAACUUCAAAAGACGCUAUAUACUUUUCUUCAUGUGAUAGCCACACAUGAUCUCUCUUCCGUUUUCCUUUCCCCCAGAAGCCGGGACUACUUGACUUCAAUCAUGCAGUUGCUGUUACAUACAUCUUGCCACCAUAAGGAUAUUGUUACAAGAAAGGUGAGCUAAUAGCCUUUUUAUUUCAUUCAUUACUUUAAGUAUUGGACAUUUUAAAGUUGUACUAUAAUCAGGAACUGAACCUAACUUUCGGUUAUUGCCAUCUGUGAGAUAGGCUUGUGUACAGAUAUUUAUCAAAUUAAUUAAAGACUGGUGUGCCAAGUCAUCUGGUGAAGAAAAGGUUUGUUUCCCUUGUAAAUUUCAUUCCUAGCUUUGUUGUGUGGAUGAUAUGAUGCUUAUGUCUGUAAGUGAUUAAAUAUUUUGUAGGUACCUGGUUUCAAAAGUUUUAUCAUAGAGACCUUUGCCACAAACUGUUGUUUGUACAGUGUGCUUGACAAAUCCUUCGAGUUCGGUGACGCAAAUACUGUAAGAAUAACCUAUUUUUUAUUCAUUUAUCUUAUCUGUGUUCUGCAUUACUCGGUGUCAUGCAAGAUAUCAUUGUUACAUACAUACGGGAAUAACUUCUUAUUAAAUUUAACAUGGUUUGAGGGUUUUUAUUUAUUACAGAAAAAAAAAAAACCUUCUUAUGCUUGGCCAUUACGUCUUUGCAUCCAUCUGCUUUCUCGGAUAGUUAGGGACAUACCCUUGAUUAAAUGUUUUAAGGUGCAUGGUGACUUGGAACAGUGAAAAGGCUGCAUUAGAAUUUGCUGUGCAGUGAAGUAACAAUGGAGAAACAUUUGUUGCCUGUUCCGAAAACCGAAAAUUGUUUACCUUCUUUCUACAUUGCCUGCAAAGAGCAUUAUUUGCUUUGCUUGGUGAAUAGACAAUGUUGCAAAUAUAUACAGUUAAACUGAUGGUUUAUGCCCAUUUCUUCAUGCUUACUCAUUAUUUCUAUUAUUUUUUCAGCUUGUUUUAUUUGGAGAAAUUGUGCUGGCUCAGAAAGUGAUGUACGAGAAGUUUGGGGAUGAUUUUCUUGUUCAUUUUGUAUCAAAAGGAUUUCCAUCCCCGCAAAAUCUGGCAGAGCAGUAUUGCCAAAAGUUGAAGGUACUAUUCUUUAUAAUCCAUCUAUAUUUGAUUUUUCAUGCAUAAUUAUUUCUGUGAUCCAUCUGGUUUUAUUCAAUUCAUCAUUGGAUUUUAGAAUGAAACUGACGGUGACAACGGGUUUUCAUCCUACCCUAGAACCAUCCUGAAACUGUGACUUAAACCUGGUUCCUGAUACCCUUUCCAUUUAUUAAAUUACUUAAUUCUUAACCGUCUGCACUACCAACUGGGUUUGGACCUUAGACACAAGUUUCCUAUGAAACUAUAAUUGUAAAUAUAGAAUGUUAAACUCUAAUCCAAGAUCUCAUGGAAAAAGAAAAACUUGCCACUUAGUGCAUCAAUGGCCAAGCCACACUUAUUGUACUAAUUAAAAUCUAAUCUUGAAUUCAUGACUUGGUCGAUUUUCUGCAUUGGGACCCUUAAUAAAACUUGGGUUUAUGGGCUUAAAUGGAAUAAGUACUUCACCGUAGCUGCUGAUAGUUUGUAUUUGCAGGGUAAUGAUAUCAAGGCAUUGAGAUCGUAUUAUCAGUCACUUAUUGAACAUUUACGAGUCCAGCAGAAUGGAAGCCUUGUUUUCAGAUAGCAGUGGCCAUAUGAUUAUAUUUUCUAACUGAGGGCUCCACAUAUAUACUUUGCCAGCAAAGGUUCCCACCAUCUUGCAAUUAGUGUUGUUCCAUUUUCCUCAUUCAAGUCUCUUAUGAUUUGAAGUUAACAUUGCAGGUUUCUUUAUGUAAAUAUCAAAUGUGUUAUGUUGCUUGUUUCCAUGGACAAAGAGGUAUUUUUUAAGUUGCUCAAAUAUCCUUCAGUUUCAUUCAGCUGAAUUAGGGUGAGAGUUUUUGUGAGAGCUUUUCAUAGUUUUCCCUUUCAUUUUUUGGAAUCAUUUUUUUUAAUCUUCAAUUAAGUGUACGUGUGACUUAGAUUAUUACCCCCCUCCCCCUCAAAAAAAAAAAAAAAAAAAAAGGGAAAAAAGGCCAUUAGCCAUUUCUUUUAUUCAUUGUUUUGAUACAAUUAUUUUGGGGCCAAAGUUUAUAAUUAUAAAUUCAAUUCAAAUUAGCAUAUAUUAUUCAGUGAUGAGGCUGUAUCUGAGAUGCUGAUAUGAUUAGUAGUAUGAUUUAGAUAGAUUUUAAUCUUAAUUACCCUGUUUUAAAUUUUAUUCUGGGAAGUGCAUUUAAUCCUUGCUUUCUUAAUUAGUAAGAAAAAACAAAAGGAGUGUUUUAAUUUGUUUACUAGGCUAAAAUUACAUGGUUAAGUUACUACAAAUUUCUUAACUUGUUCCCUUAUUUCAUGCUUUAAAAGGCAUUAAAAUAAAAUACAGUAAAGAAAUUCAGAAAAAGAAAGCAAGACAGUAAUUAAGGGAGAGAAAUGAGAUGGGGACAAGCAAUAAAAGAGCAAGUUUAUAUUGCAGAAUGUAAUUAGGGUAAUCUUUUUUUAAAUUAAGCAUUCAAUUAUUAUAAGAAAUCGAAAAUCGAAGGAAUUAUGCAAUGUAGUUGGUGAUGAUGAUUUUCAGGGUUUUUUAAAGAUGUAAUUAGUUAAAUACGUUUAAAAAAUUAAAAUUUUUGGUAAUUAUAAGAAUGUAUAAUUGUUACCUUAAUAAUUACUUUAUUUUACAAUUAUUAUUCUGUAAGUAUAAACACACCUUUAAUAUUUGUCCCUAUUGAAUUUUGAUCAACAUUAUUAUAAAUACUUAUAGUAAGCAUUUGAGACAAGUUUAAAAACAAUACUAUUUGAAUAAAAAAAUAUUUAAUUUCUUUCGUAUAUCAAAAGAGACCUACACAAAUUGAGAAGGUAAUUCUCUAUUUUAAUUUAUCAAAAUUUGAUUUUAUAUUUUACGUAAAUUCAAUUGGACUAACUUAUAUAUAUUUACAAAAUAUAACAAAUUAAAUUAGAGGAAACUCCUCAACUAAUUCAUAACUAAACCUAAUAAAUAUAUCCUUUAAAAUUGAAGAAAUUGUUUUCAUGGGAAACAAACAAGGAAGAUCUUCGUGCAUCAAUUUUUUCCUCAUUCGUAAUAAUGUUUUUAUUUUAUUUUAUUUACAUGUAAAUUAAAUUGUCAAAUUUCAAUCAUGAAAAUGAUUUCUUCAAAGGUUUUUCUCAAAUACAUUGAAAAUUUAAAAGCUUUACUUUUGUUAUUAAAUGUGGAUGCCGGAGGAUCAAAUUGAUUACAUUCACUCAUUUCAAGUUCACAUUUUUGAACGCACUGAGGCAUAUGAUUUGACCCUUUAAAAUCAUGUUAUUAUCAUUUGUCUAUAAUGGACCAACUUUCUUUUUAGUUUUCUCAUCACAAAAACAUAUGAAUAGAGAUGUGAUUCUUGUUUUUUUUUUCCUUUUCUCUCUAAUUUUAGAAUUUUUUAUCUGUAUAAUGUAAAUAAAAAAUUAAAUACUGAAAUGGUAUGUCAAUACAAUUAUUUAUCAAAAUAGUAUGUUUGAAAUAGUAAUAAGGGGUGGAAGGAGAGAGAUGGGCGGCACCCAUGAUUACAAAAAUGACGUGUAUUUAAAAAAAUUACUUUUUUAAGGGUGGAGGGGAAGAGAUGGGCGGCACCAGUAUUUUCUGGUGUAAAAAUAUGAUCUGACUAGUGGGCGAUGAGAGAGAGAUAGUACUGGAUUAAAAUGUGAUAGCCUAAAAUAUUUAGGACCUAAUAUGAAAAUUAACCAUUUUAAUUGAUUGCUAAAAAGAAGCUUUUACAGUGCCGCCAAAGUUUAAAAAGGUUAAAUUCCUUCAUAAGUCCUUCUUAUUUACUAUUUUCUUUUAUUCUCUUUCAACACAAAAAAUAGAGAGUGUUAUUACCAAUUAGCUCAAAAAGUUUUUUCUAACAAAAAGCAUUUUUGUAAAAAAUCCUAUUCCAACUAGAAAUAGAAUAUAAUUAUUACAACUUUCUUUUUUUCUUUUUACUUCUAUUGAAAAUUUAAAGCAUUUACAAUCAAUUGAAGCAUCAAACAUAGGUGCAAGUUAGGUACCACUUGGAUUAAUUACCUUAAAUAGUGGUAUUUUUUUGCCCGUAAAUACUUUAUAAGCUAUAGGGCAUGGAUUUAAAUCCGAUUAUGUAUGAUUGUGCAUAGUUUGUUAGUUCAAACACUCAAUGAAACGUUUUUAUUUUGUAAAUUCGUUAUUACUCUAUAAACAUAUUAAUUAAUAGAUUAAAAUAUAUUAUUUAAUAAAUUAAAAAAUAACUACGUAAGAUUAUGUACGGAAUGUGUGACAUUAGAAUCUAAGAUUAAUUAAUGAAAAUAAAACAAGAUUUUGAAAGUUUACCAGUACAUAUAAAAUAUAAAUACAAAUAUUUUUAAUAAUUUAUCAAUAUAUAUUUUAAAAGUUUAUUAAUAUAAUUAACGUAGAAAUAUAUGUUCAAAUAAUUACAAAAUAUAGAAUUAAAUUAUUACAAUAAAUAUACAUACUAAAAACAAAAAACAAUCUAAAUUAUAAUCAACUAACUAAACUAAAACCCAUCAUCAGAAUAUUCCAACUCUGUUAAGCAUGGCAAUGAAAUAUUAAAAUAUUAUGGAUUUGGACCAUUUGGUAACGUUGAGAGUCGGCGGUUGUUUUAUUCUGGCAAUGGUGAUAGAGAAAAAGGAAGAGUAGUCGUCACCGUUAAUGGCGAAAGGCGUGGAGCAAGAACUUUUGAAUUUCAUUGCACAUUUAUUUGAGUUUUACUUUCUCCGGGUUUUUUUUAUUAAAAUAAAUUAAAAAAAAAAUUAUUUAUCAGUUGUCAGCCCGAUUAUAUACCAAAAUGAGGUAUUUUUUCAUUCGCGCCUAUCUGACAGGAGAGAAUGAUUAUUUUAUAUUAAUUUUUUUAAUAAAAUAUUAUUUUUUUAUUUUCGGAACAAUAAUUGCGCCUACUUGAGAGGCGUGACUAAUUGAGCCUUUCUCUGAAGCGCAAAUGGUGGGGCUCACAUUUUUCAUAUGUUAUUAAAAUGCAUACUUUACUUGGAUGAAGUAUGUAUUAGCAGAUUCACUAAUAUGAUUAUAUAUAUAUGUACACGCAUGUAUCACAUUACAAAAACAAAAAUUUAAAUACUUAUACCUAAUAAAACAUGUAUCCAUUACAAUAAUAGUUAUUUUCCAAAUAACAUAUUGUUUUAUAAUUUUACUUCUUAUUUAAUAUUUUAAUUUAAUUUUAAUAAUGCAUACUUUACCCGGAUGAAGUAUGUAUUAGCAGAUUCACUAAUAUGAUUAUAUAUAUUUACCUAUGUAUCACAUUACAAAAACAAAAUUUUAAAUACUUAUACCUAAUAAAAACGAGUAUUAAAAAUAACUUUAUAAUAUUACCAACUUUCAUUGACUAUAUAAUCCACAAGUUUGCCUUAAAUAUUACUAUCUGCUAAUACAUGUUUCAUCCGGAUAAAGUAUGCAUUUUAAUAACACAUGAAAGAUGUAGACAUUAAUAUUUAAGGCAAACUUGUGGAUUAUAUAGUCGAUGAAAGUUGGUAAUAUUAUAAAGUUAUUUUUAAUACUCGGUUUUAUUAGGUAUAAGUAUUUAAAAUUUUGUUUUUGUAAUGUGAUAUAUGCGUAAAUAUAUAUAUAAUCAUAUUAGUGAAUUUGCUAAUACAUACUUCAUCCAGGUAAAGUAUACAUUAUUAAAAUUAAAUUAAAAUAUUAAAUAAGAAAUAAAAUUAUAAAACAAUAUGUUAUUUGGAAAAUAACUAUUAUUGUAAUGAGAUACAUGUUUUAUUAGGUAUAAGUAAUUAAAUUUUUAUUUUUGUAAUGUGAUACAUGCGUGUAUAUAUAUAAUCAUAUUAGUGAAUCUGCUAAUACAUACUUCAUUCAGGUAAAGUAUGCAUUGUUAAAAUUAAAUUAAAAUAUUAAAUAAGAAAUAAAAUUAUAAAACAAUAUGUUAUUUGGAAAAUAACUAUUAUUGUAAUGAGAUACAUGUUUUAUUAGGUAUAAGUAAUUAAAAUUUUAUUUUUGUAAUGUGAUACAUGCGUGUAUAUAUAUAAUCAUAUUAGUGAAUCUGCUAAUACAUACUUCAUUCAGGUAAAGUAUGCAUUGUUAAAAUUAAAUUAAAAUAUUAAAUAAGAAAUAAAAUUAUAAAACAAUAUGUUAUUUGGAAAAUAACUAUUAUUGUAAUGAGAUACAUGUUUUAUUAGGUAUAAGUAUUUAAAUUUUUUUUUUGUAAUGUGAUACAUGCGUAAAUAUAUAUAUAAUCAUAUUAGUAAAUCUGCUAAUGCAUACUUCAUCCAGAUAAAGUAUGCAUUUUAAUAACACAUGAAAAAUAUAGGCCCCACCAUUUGCGCCUCAGAGAAAGGCUUGAUUACUGUUCCGAAAAUAAAAAAAUAUUUUAUUUAAAAAAAACAAAAAAAAUUAAUAUAAAAUAAUCAUUCACGCCUGUCAGAUAGGCGCGAAUGAAAAAAACACCUAAUUUUCGUAUAUAUUCAGACUGACAACCUAUUUUGAUAAAUAAAUUUUUUUAAAAUUUAUUUUAGUAAAAAAGCGACUUUCUCCGUCAUUUAUUUACAGUUAUUAUAUUGCACUUUUUCCAAUAUCAUGUAUUACGUCAUUUAUUUACAUUUAUUAUAUUGCAGCAUUUAAUAUUUUUAUUUUUUUAGUAAUAAAGGACAACACUUUUAUUUUUGUUCAUUAAAGGGAACACAUAUUCGUGUUCUUAAUUUUGAUUGUGUACGGAUAAUAAUAUAUAUAUAUAUUUGAUGAUAAACAAAGGUUAUGAAGAUAUUAGCUUUUAUCACUAUUAAAGGACGUCUAUUAAUAUAUGUACCUUCUUCAUAUCUGCAAAAGAUAUAUUGACAAUUUGGUCAAUAGUAUAAUUAAUCUCCUUAAAAAUAUGUCUUAUCAUUCAAUAUCUUUUAUUCCGUAACAUUUGUUGAAUUUAUUUUAUCAAAACUAAGUUCGGAUUUGUUGAAAUAUUCCCUUAAAUUGUUUGGACUACCUCCAAACUAUUUCUUUUUAAGUUUUAUGAUAAAUUAAGGUAAAUGGAUGAUACAUUUUGUUUAAAACAAAUUUUUUAGUGGGAAAAGGAAUUGAUAUGGGUGAGUAAUAUAAUGAUGAUUAGUUAACCAUAUUAUGAAAAUGGUUAAAUGAGUUGUUGAGUGUAAAAGCAGAAAGAGAUAUAUCAACAUUUAAAAGGUUUAAUGAUUUGUUCAUUGAAGGCUCUAUAUUUCACGAGUGGAGAAUUUAGAGUUAAAAGAAAGUGUGAUCCCAACAAUUGGAAAAUUUGUGUUUCUCAUUUUGAUUUUAUUUACAAAAUCCAUCAUGGCCUUUAGGUUGAAAUUUUAGUAAUUUUCAUACCAUCAUUUCAUUACCAAUAAAUAUAAAUCUUAAUUUUUUUUUUGUUUUAUUUUGACUGUGUUAGUCUCUAGACUGACACUUAUAAUUUUUUUUUCCCUCCUACCAAAUUUCUCUUUCUUUUUUUCUCCUCGUUCUCUCCAUGUGUUUUUUCUCUUUUUAACUUGCAGAUUUAUUUUGUGGAUAUCUUUAUUGUCUUCACAAGUUGUGAUAAACAGGUGACACUGCACAUCAUUGCUGAAACUCCACCGAUUACCAAUAGUUUCUCUUGAAAAGUUGGUGGCUCUUUGUCGAUUUCUUGAUUUGUUUCUCUUUUGAGAGUAUUCUAAAAUAAUAAAUGAUUUCACGAGUCGGUUAGGAUUCAUGUUUUAAAUUUUAUAUGUUUCUUUUUUAUUAUUUAAUAAGUCUUUACUUUUAGAAAUUUUUGUUCACUCUUGUAACAUGUUUUUUUGUCCUACUUUUGCAAAUGAUUUUAGGGAUUGUUUUGUCGUCGUCCUCUUCAUUUUGGUGGAUAUUUGAUGCUUUUGUUGAUUUUUGCCAGUCGUGUUGUACCAUUUAGGGCAAAUUUUCUUAUCGUAUCAAGUAUUUGUAAUCACUCCAAAUAUAUCAUGCUUGAGUUAUAAUAGAGCCAAUUAUCAACGUGUUAUGAUGCUAAGGUUGAAGCAUUUUUUGUGUUGAUGGAGCUUGCUCUUCACUGUUUACAAUUGGUGUUUGUUGGUCCCUUGAAUUCUAUGGUCUCUUUCAAAGAGUGAAUUAAUGAAUUUCUUUUUCAAAAACAAAAUUACAAAUAAAUAUUCAUGAGGUUAUUUACCAUAAUGUUCGGAUCAAUUUGAUUAUUUAUAAAAUAAACGAAGCAAUUUAAUUUUUGUACUACUGAAAGGUGAGAGAAAAACAAUUACUAGCAACAUGAAUUUUUUUUUUUGUUAAUAAGCCAUUAGGUGUAAUUAAGUGUGACUUAUUUAGCUUUUUAAUUUUAUAAAAAAAAUUAUUUUAGUUCUCCAUUUAAAUUUUCACCUUUUUUUUUAGUUUUUAAACUUAUGUUUUCUGUCAAAUCACCCCUAAAUAGAUAGAAAAGUUAAUGCUUUUUAACUUUGCUGACAUGGUAUGCAUGUGGAUGACACAUCAACAUUUAAUUAUUUUUUAAAAAUUUAAAAAAUUCAAAAAAAUUAUAAAACUUUAAAAUCAUUGAAAUUAUAAAAAAAUAGUUUCUGAAUUUUAAAACUUUAAUUAAACGCUGACAUGUCAUUCACGUGUAUGUCUUAUUAGCAAAGUUAAAAAAUAUUAAUUUUUUCAUUCAUUUUGGAGUGAUUUGAUUAAAAACACAAAUUUAAGGCUAAAAGAGACGAAAAAUUAAAUAGAUAGUUAAAAUAAUUUUUUUAUAAAAUUGAACGGUCAAAAAGUAAUUAUACCUAAAAUUAAACAAGAAAAAUUAAUUCUUAUACUGUUGAAAAAUGAGUAAAUAAACACAAUUGAAAAUGACGUUAAUUAAUUAUGUUUGUAAAAGUUGGUAAAAAAAAAGAUAUCAUUGCGACCAACAUCUUACAUAUAUAUACCUAUAUUUGAUCGAUUGACCUUAAAAAACCCCAUUAUGUAUAUAAAAAUUAAUAAAUAUAUCCAAAGUUUUGAAAUAAAAACAAAAAAAAAAUUAAUAAAUUUUUGAAUUUUAGAAACAUUAUAAGUUAAAUUAUGUUUUAAAGAAAUUCUUAGUUUUUUCCCCAAAAUUUUAGAAUUUUUUUGAAGUUUUAAUUUUUUUAUAAUGUUUAUGAAUAUUAAAUAUAUAUUAUUUUUAAAAUUCAAUCAAUUAGAAUUUAUUUAUUUUGUCACGUUAUUUUUUUAAUGGAAAUAAUUGAUUCAGUUUUUUUUAUUUUUUUUAUUUCUUCUAUGUAGAAUAUUAUAGAGAUUAAAUUGUUUGGUAGAAGUAUUCAUGGGUCAGGUCGGGUCGGGCUCGUAUAAGGUAUUUAGAUUAAAAUUUCAAGUUUAGGCUUGAUGCGAUCUGAAAAAUAAGCUUACUUUUUUGUCUAAACCCGACUUGAUUUAAGAAAUUAAACUCAGGCCUGACCAACUCCCUGUAUUUGCUUUUUUUUAGAUUACUUUUUAUUAAGAUUUUUUUAAAAAUAUAAUACAUUAAAAAAACACUAAAAUAAAUUUUUUCUAACACAUGAGAAAUACAUUAAAAAAGUAUUUAUAUUAAGAAAUACAAAUAAAUACAAUAAAUAUGUUUAAAUAUAAUUUUUAAAAUUUUAUAUUUUGGGUUGAAUUAUUUAGUUGGGUAAUUUUGUUAGAUUUUGGACAAUGGGUUUAAUUGUUAUUGAGUUAGUGAUUUAAUAUAAAUAUAAAUAUAUAAUUAUGUAAAAUAAAAAAUUAAAAUACUAUUUUUAUAAUAUAAUAUAUUUAGACCGGAUCGAACUCAGGUAAAAAAAGCUUGUCUAAUGCCCAACUCAUAUAAAAAAUGAAACUUAAAUUUAUCGAAGCCCAUUUUUUAGACAUUAUAUUUAGUCUAAAUACUCUUAUUUUCCAAUUAGACAUUCGAGGCUGGCAGUUCUAUUCUCCAAUCCAAUUUUAUAAUAACUAAAUUACUCUUUUCUCUAAUAACUUAUUAACAGAAAUGAUUUAGAUGAUCAUCAAUUACUAUUCAUCGCUACCCUUUUAAUAUUAUAAAUCUAAAUUGCAGUAAUAGUAUAAAAUAUGUGUAUUUAUAUACAAACAGACACAUGAGAACUUCAAUCAACUAACUGCAACAAAAAAAAAAAAGAUUGUCUAUUUGAAUAUAAUAUUUCAUAGAUUAGGAGAGUGGUUGCUAAUUGUAUUGUUUAGAGAAAAGGGGUUUGUUUAAAGACAAGAAAUUUGGGGUCUUCUAAACGGAAGAAAUUGAGAAGUUGGGAUUUUUUGUUUUUUUUUUUUGGUUAUUGGAAUACAUAAAUUAUAAAUUAUUUUGAAAAUUAAAUUUUAAAGUUUAAAGUUGGUAACUUUAUGCAUGACAUUGAAAAAUAGAGACGAAAUACUUUAUUUUAUUUUAUUUUUGUGUCUGUUUAUAAUAAUAUGAACCAUCUAGAGAAAUUCCAGCCGACAAAUGCCAAAUUUUUUGUUAAGUAGAGAGAGAGGCAGGCCUAAAGUCAAUCAGCUUUCUAGCCAGAAAUAGACUUUUCAAUUCCAAAUUCAGUAUUUAAAUACACACCUUCACCACCCAUAUGAGAUUAUAAUAAAAAUAAUAAGAAUUGGUGAAUAAGAAAAAAGAGGUGAUUGGUUGAAGACUUUAGGUUCAUCUUUAGUCUUCUAAUCCAAUCACAUUUCAUUUCCUGUAUUGUCUUAUUUAAACCCACCUUAGAGCUUCACCUAUAACCCUUAACCACACAAUAAAAAUAUGGCUUCUCUCAAAAGGUAUUUGUCAUUGAAAAAUAUCCUCCCUAGUUGCAUUAAACCCAAGGAUUCAUCUUCCGGGCCUAAAAUUCAUGCUACCAGACAGAGUCCAAGCCAAAGGUUAUCACUUACUGAUGUUAGCCACUCUGGGUCACCACUCUCAUUGACUGAUCUCUCAACUUCUCUCAUUAGCCUUCAUAUCUUUACCCUCAAGGAACUAGGAGUGAUAACUCACAAUUUCUCCAAGUCUAAUUUUUUGGGUGAGGGUGGGUUUGGACCUGUUUACAAAGGGUUCAUUGAUGACAAGUUUAAGCCUGCUUUGAAGGCUCAAUCUGUUGCUGUUAAGGUACUUGACUUGGAUGGCACUCAAGGUCACAGGGAAUGGCUGGUAAGCAAAUUGAUAAUCUCAACAUUUUAACUCUGUUUGUUUCCUUAUUGACCCUUUUUCCUGAACAGGCUGAAGUUAUUUUCUUGGGGCAAUUGAAGCACCCUCACCUGGUGAACUUAAUUGGGUAUUGCUAUGAAGAGGAACAUAGGCUUCUGGUUUAUGAAUACAUGGAACGAGGCAACUUAGAAAACCAAUUGUUUAAAAGUUGGUUUUAACUCUUUUCCCUUUUAAAAUUUGUAAUCAGCUAUUAAACUUUGUUAAAUUAUUAAUCUUAGUGGUCAACGAGUGCAGGGUAUGGUCCACCAUUGCCUUGGCUAACAAGGUUGAAAAUUGCUCUUGGAACUGCAAAAGGACUAGCUUUCCUUCAUGAAGAAGAGAAGCCGGUCAUAUACAGGGAUUUCAAAACUUCAAAUAUCUUAUUAGACUUGGUAAAAACAUACCACCUUUUAGUUCAACUGGUUUUCAUGCAUCAGCAAAGACUGAACAGGUUUGUUUUAUUGGCAGGCUUACAAUGCAAAGGUCUCGGAUUUCGGAUUGGCAACCGACGGUCCAGAAGGUGAAAAAUCUCAUGUUACAACUGCUGUAAUGGGCACAGAAGGCUAUGCUGCUCCGGAAUACAUUACAACAGGUACUAAAAGUUCAGCACUUAUCUCGGUUUUCACUGAUGGAACAAAUUGAUGUGAUUCCAGAAUUUGUAUUUUUCAGGGCAUUUGACGACUAUGAGCGAUGUGUUCAGCUUCGGAGUGGUUCUGUUAGAACUGUUAACAGGCCGGCGAUCUGUAGACAAAUCGCGCCCUGCUCGAGAAAAGAACCUAGUGGAAUGGGCAAGGCCUAGUUUGAAGGACCCUUACAAACUUGAUGCAAUAAUGGAUCCAAGACUUGAAGGACAGUACUCAACUGAGGGGGUUAAAAAGGUUGCUGCAUUGGCUUCUCAAUGUCUAAGCAACCACCCCAAGUCUAGACCAACUAUGAGCAAUGUGGUCAAGGCCUUGGAGCCUCUGCUGGACUUAACCGACAUCCCAACUGGACCCUUUGUGUACAUUGUUCCGACCGAUGGCAAUAGCGAGCCUAUCAUUCAGAACAUCAUACAACGAGAGGAAAAGCAACACGACGAGUUAAGAAUAGAGAAAAACAUCGAUCGUAAGGAAGAAAAGAAAGAGAAAAACCGAUUGCCACACAGAAAAGCCCGAAAGCAUAGACCUCGGGUUAAGCCAUCGAGGUCUCGAGCUGUCUAUUCGGACACUGAUUUGUAUAAAGUUUUAGGGUCUAGUUUGUAUACUCCCAAGCACUAGAGACACUCCAAACAAAACAAGCAUACCUUGUACAUUUGAAGUUCGUUGUAUUUUUUUUUUAAAAAAAAAAAUAUAUAUAUCUUUUCCAUUCUUGUCAUUGUCUAUAUGUUUAGAAAGUCAUGGCAUAAUAGAAGUUUCCAUAGAAUAUACAAAGCCAACCGAAACUGGUGUUUGAGCCAAUUUUUCCAGAGUUUCCAUACCUUAAUAUUUUUUUUACAGCAAGGGAAAAACAUGUCCAUUUGUUUGUUUUCUAUAAACAAAGAUUCGCCUAAGUUGUGGGCCAAUAUGACAACAUACGACUUCUACACGUUAAACAAUAGCAAAUGAUGCUUUUUUUUUUUGGGUCUGUAAAUGAUGCUAAUUAAGUAAUUACAUAAUUCAACAUGAUAUGAAAUUUUUCUAAGUUUCCCCGAAAUUUCAUUAUGGAAGGAAAUGACUGAAAUUCAUUGGGUUUGGGACUUUGUAAAUUAGUGCAAAUUUUCCUGCUGAAUCUUCACUGGCGUGUGACAUCAAAGUUCAAAGUUCUGAUUAGAGCCAUUGACUCCUUCAAAAUGAAGCAAAAUUUUCCAAAAGCUGCUGGAUAUUCUUUCGUGCUAGACUACUACACCACACAAGACUUGGGGGCAAUUCCACCAACCCCCUUCCCAAAUCCUAUCCCUUGAAAUCCACAAAUAUCUGAUCCAAAAGUUUGGCAAUCAUAACAUUCUUUUAAAACUCUUUUCCAUUUGUUAAUAUUUCUUGGUAAACCUUGAAAUUAAUGCAAGUAUUUGCGGGGGAUGAAGAGGAAAAAUGGGGCAAGGAGCAAAGCCAUUAUUAGCGUGGAAUCAAUGUAAAAACUCCAAAUGUUUAAAACUAAGUAUAAUCAAAGCAUUAGACUUGAAAUGUAGGAACUUUGUAUGGGGAAAGGUAUGGAGCAUUGUUAAAAAAAAAAAAAGGCUCCUCAAGGAACAGUAAGCAUAUUAAAUUAAUGGGUUAAUGGUGUCGAAUUGGUAAAUAAAGCAUUACUGAAUUUUCAACUCACAAUCCAUCCCACUGACCAUUCAUGCUGCAUAGUUUAUAUGCUGGAGGCUUCAACGAUUGUAGUAAUAUGUAUGUGGAAAAAUUAUGUUUCACCACAGCACCUGUUAUUUGUGAAUUUCUACAAAGCUUAUGUAAUUCAAAUGUAUGGCUGACGUUCUCAUAAUCCUAUUUUUAGCAUGUAUUUUUUUUAUGAAAAGAUUUGACUUGAUCUUUAUAGAUUAAAACAAAUAAUAUUAACAGUUUUAGACUGAAGUUCAAUAGCAAAACCCUAUUAAACAAAAUAAAAACAGAAGCCUAUUAAAUAAAAUAAAGAAAACAGGCCUAGACCGCUUAGAAAUGACCCAUAACUUCAUACUUAACUAUAACAAAAAAGAGGAAACCUAAUCUUAUCCUAUACCAGUCAAAUCGACAGCUGGAUACCAUUAGUCAAUGUCCGUUUACAUCACCGACUCAACUUUAAUGAUAGCAGUUUUCAAAGUAUCUUUUAAUUUUUUGCUACCCAUUUCUAAAGGAGUUUCAUCUUCUCUUUUCUCUCAAUCUGGCUGCCUUGGCCGAAGUUUCUCCUGGCAAACGUAAUCUGGAACUCCUCCCAAUAGGUAAUGGCUUUCUCCCCUCUUCAGAGCCUCUUUCGCAAGAACAUGGGCAUAUGUAUUCUCUUUUUUAGGGAUAAACUGAAACCCUAUCUCUUGAAAUUUAACUUUUUUGUUUUGGAUAUCUCUGAUGAGUGCUCCAAUGGCUGAUUUGUCAAGAUCUGUACUUUGGCAUUUCUUUAUAAUCUCCCAUUAUUUCCAGUUUGUUUAAGCUCAUAUAAAUUCCUAAUCUCAUGGCUUGUAAUCCUGCAUGUGCUUCCGUAGCAAACGAAAUUGCUAUAUCGGAGUGAAUGACCGUCUUAGAUGCUAAGAUCUCGCCCCCCACAUCUCGUACAAUCAAACCCGAAGCAUAUUUGAAGGAUUGCUGGUCAAAGGCUGCAUCAAAAUAGAUUGUUACCCUUGUUCUUCGAUUAACAUGUUGAAGGCCUUUGCCAGCCUGAAAGGUGAGUUUCUUUUUUUUUAUUCCAUCCAACUCAGAGAUGUAACUGUAUAUUUGCUUCAAAAUGUAUCUUCCUGUCACAUUUUUUCUUUCAUACAGUAACCGAUUUCUAUUGGACCAGAUUAGCCAAAGCCCGCAACAGAAAAGUCAACAUUGUUCACUAAUCCCUCGACUAAAGACCUAGGUAAGCUAUUCCCACAUACUGUGAAUAUCGUUGUUAAGAACCUAGGAAAGAUAUAAGUAAAUCCAAACAUCCAUUAUAGGAUACUGUCGAAAAAUAUGGUUACUAUCUUCCUUAUAUUGACGACACCGAGGGCAUUGAGCAUCCAUCGCCACUUUCUUAUGCUUAAGGUUGACGAGUAGGAAUAAAAUUCCAGGAGAUUCUCCAUACUGGUAUUGUAACUUUUGAGGGGAUGUAUAAAUUCCAUAGUUUCCUGUAGAAAUUUUUUGUUUCGGCUUGUAUAAUAUAAUUACUAGGACCAAGUUAGUCUCCUGUAAUAGUUUAUAGGCACUUCUGAGAGUUCGCCUCUCCACACUUGAAAAUUGUCAUAUGUUAUCUCCGCCAGAGGAAUCUGCAUGAUUUUUUUUUGCAAUAUCUGUAUGAAAGGUAUUCAUAAUAACAUCUGUUUUCCAGGUCUUGUCAAUAGCCUCAUUUAAAUCCGAUACUAACUUGAUGUUUUCAUUGUUGUCUUGGUUCUGUAAUCUGUCUGCCUCUUCUUCCGAAAUUCAUAAAUCAUCCCAAACGAAAAUUUGAUCCCCCGUUCCAACCCUCCAGCAUAGACCUUUCUACAGAAGUCCUCUUGUUGCCCAUACAUUUUUCCAGGUAAGCGAAGGUAAAUUCCCUAACCUAGCAUUAUAGAAAUUCGAGUUAGGAUAAUAUUUUGCCUUCAAGACACGGGCUAAUAAAGAAUUUGGAAAAUUAAUAAGACGCCAACCCUGCUUUGCUAAUAACACUAUGUUAAAUUUUUCAAAAUUUCGAAAAUCAAGACCACCAUCUUAUUUUAACGAGCAUAGUUCCUGCCAAGCACACCAAUGGAUGCCUUUUUUAUCUCGACCUUUUUGCCACUAAAAUUUAGCUAUAGUACCUUCCAAAUCAGCACAUAAAGAUUUAGGGAGUAAAAAACAAGCCAUAGUAUAAAUUGGAAUGGAUUGUAGUAUAGCCUUUAUGAAAACCUUUUUUCCUCCUUAAGAGAGAUGCCUUAUACUCCAGUUAUCAAUUCGUUGUUCAAAUUUGUCCUUUCAAGACUUGAAAAAACGAUUUCUUGUUUCUUCCCACCAUAUUAGGGAGACCAAGGUACCGUUUUGAGUUAUUUGAUCUACGCACUCCAAGUACAUUAGAAACUAUUAUUUUUUCCCCAUCCUACAUAUUAGUACCGAAAAAUACUGUUCCCUUAUCAAAGUUAACACAAUAAUCUGAACAAAUCUCAUAUUCUUUCAAAAUCUGCUUUAGAGAAUGUGUUCCUCUUUCAGUAUCAUCUGUUUGCUUGUACUCUUCUUAGUAUAUUUUCUUUUAUUGCAAGCCUCAUAAGACUAGAGAGGCCUUCCCCACAAAAUAAAAAUAGAAACGGACUCAAGGGAUCUCCCUGUCUUAAUCCUCUAGUCGGAUGAAAAAUUUCCCCAAUGUGUCCAUUGAAAACCACCGAGUACGAUAUUGUAGAUGCACAUUUCAUUAAAGAAUCAACCCAUCUAGAAUCAAAACCCAUUCUCUUCAUUAUUUCUUCCACAAAAUUUCAUUCAACCCUGUUGUAUGCUUUGUUCAUAUCUAAUUUUACCACCAUAAACCCUUUUUUCCCCACCUUCUUGUGCUUUAAUGUGUGUAAAAUUUCAUAAGCCAGUAACACAUUAUAAAAAAUCAAUCUCCCAGGUACAAAAGCACUUUGUGCUAAAUCAAUACAUUUAUCAACCACUACCCGAAGACGAUUAGCAAUGACUUUAGCUAUCAAUUUAUAAAGCACAUUACAUAAGCUAAUUGGUCUAAAUUGAGUAAUACUAGAAGGGUUUGAAUUUUUCAGUAUUAGCAUAAUAUUUGUUUUAUUGAUCGAAUUUAUAUCCAUAUCUUCAUUCAGUCAUUGAAGACAAAAGGCUGAAAUAUCUUCUCCGAUGAUCGGCCAACACUUUGAUAAAAUAAGGCCGGAAAAUCGUUCUCUCCUGGUGUUUUUGUGGGACCUAAUUCUGAUAAUGCUUCUUGUAUCUCCUCCUUAGUGUAACUCACUUUUAGCCUAAAAUUGUCUUCAUCAGAAAUACAACAAUCGAUCCCUGACAAAAUAUGUACAUAAUUUCCUUACCUCCCAGCUGAAAAUAAUCUCUGAAAAUACGAUCUAGCAAUUUCUUCCAUUUCCCUAACCUUUUCCUUCUCCCUACCAUUAUCAAACUGCAUUUUGCGAAUAAAAUUUCUUCUUCUCCUCUGUGUCGCUUGCUUAUGAAAAAACGUGGUAUUUCUAUCUCCAAAUUUCAGCUAGUUUACUCGAGCUCUCUAUUCCCAGUAGCACUCAUCAUUCUUAAUCUCAAAAUUUAGUUGUAUCUUUGUGUCAGUGAGUUCUGGCAAGUUUUCAUCAUUUCUAUCGGAUUCCAACAAUUUUGUCAAUUUAGAAGUUAAUGCCUCCUUUUUUAUUUUCAUGCUGCACCGAAUUUGAUUAGCCCACCUCUCUAAGCCUUUCUUCAUACUUUCUAACUUGCUCAGUAGAUCUCCUGUGGAAUUCUCCCAAAUGUACCUAACCUCCUCAACAAAUGUUCCCUCCAAAACCCCCAAUCUUCAAACUUAAAACUUUUAUUAAAUUGCCCUUUAACUUCACGUUCUGUAGUAAUGAAUACAGGACAAUGGUUUGAAAAAGAAUGAAGAAGGUGUUGAAUUAAGGAAUCUGAAAAUAAAGAUAUCCAUUCUUCAGUGGCCACUCCUCUAUCUAAUCUUUCUUGAAUGUUCGUUUUCGACAAAUUUCCUCUCCCUAAGUGAGCCAGUUUCCUGAAUAACCCAUAUAAACUAGAUUACAAUCUUCCAAUGCCUUUUGAAAAGCUUUUAUUUGUCUCUCCUCUCGAGGUAAGCCUCCAUUCUUUUCAAAACCAUACAUAAUUUCAUUAAAGUCCCUACAAACUAGCCAUGGAGACUCUCCAUCAUUAUGUAAGUGUCCUAAAAGAUGCUAUGAUUCAUUCUUGUCCUGUGUGUAGGGAGAACCACAAAAACCAGUAAAUCUCCACUUGUUUCUAUCAUCUGUAUCUUCGAUUAUCACAUCAAUAUGUCAGUUUGAAAAACUCUGGAGCGUAAUAUUAACAUCCCCACGCCAUGCUAAACAUAAUCCUCAUCUAAAACCAAUCGAUUCAACAUUGAUACCAUUAUGAAAACCACAACUCCUUUGAACUCUUUCCAUCUGACUUCUGUUAAUUUUUGUCUCCAUGAAGAAGACCAUAUGAGGAUUGUAUAACUUCAGCAAAUGCCGAAGUCUUCGAAAUGCCUGUGUAUUCUCCAAUCCAUGGGCAUUCGAACUUAAGAUUUUUAUUGCGCCCAGUCGGCUUGCCUCUUGGCAGUCGCCGAUGAUAAAUGAUUAAUUUCCAACAACCUUCUAUUUUUAACCACCAUAAUGUUGUUUUCUUCAAUCUCCCCCCAGCUCUCUUUUCCCUCUCCUCUACUAUUAACACAUCAUCUUCUAGAUCAUGAUCCAUUGCAGUUUGAGCUUGACCUGUCAAUAAAUUUUCCUUCAUUGGCGUGAAGAGAACGUUCUUCCUUCCAAAUUAAAACCUAAAAUAGGGUCAAUAACCUUGUAAUACCCUUGUUUUUUGCCUACUCCCCACCCACUGUUGCCUUGUGUUCGUUCGUCUGUGCUGUUUCCACCUAGUACUCCUUCUCCUUCCUCACGUAGCCAAACUCUAUUCAUUGCUUAGGCUCUUCGAGAUUGUGCUCGCAAUGAUUAGUCCCAACCCAUCUAAGUGAUUUCUACCCCUAAUGCCACAUUUGUUUCACAAAAAGAGUCACUAUGACCUAAACGACCACAAUAGAAACAAAAAAGGGAAAUCUUUCAUACUUAAAUCUGACAUAUGAGUAUUUCCCACAAAACAUAACUUGUUUCUUCCUUUUAAGAGGACGCCGAAUAUCUAUUUGGACUUGUAUUCUCAUAAAUUUUGAUUUUCUUUCCCCAGAUUCGAACCAUCAUACUCCAUAAAAUUUCCUAUGAAAUUACCCAAUUGUAUAGCCAGAUUAUCAAAGAAAAAAACCUAUGAGAAUAGCAUGAAUUUGUACCCAGAAAGGUGUUAAAAUUAAAGGGACUUUUAAUGGGUUAUCCCCCACUUGCAGCUUGUAUAACACCAAUAAAUGAUUAUUAAAAGUCCAUGGUGAUCCCUUCAAAACCCUUUCUAUAUUUAUAACAUGAAAAAAUUGAAAUAAAUACCUUUUCUCCCCCAGAUCUCGAAUUUGAACAUCCCGAACAAGGUGCCAUAAGUUAGCCAUAGUGUUUUUCAUUGCUAGGAAGUGAAUAAUACUGGUCGUUAAAAAACACUCCACCAAUCUAAAGGCCCCUUUUUCUCUUUUCGUAUUCGGAUAUACUUGUAUUUGUAAAAUUGCUUCUUCUUCUUCAUUAAGCGUUAAUCUAGCAAAGUCAGUUUCCAUGGAUGCAGAUAAAUUUCAAGAAGCGUGAAAAUCCUUUUCUAAAGACUUAAAUAGGACUUUAAAUAUGGCUGCAGCUGACAAAAAACAGAAAACUCAAUAAAAACCUAAAAACUUGCCAGAGAGAGCAGACAGUUGCAUACUAAGGUAGCAGACUCUUUAGCAUGUAUUUUUUAGACAAGUACAAUACAAUCAAAAUACGUUAUAAAUAAAUAUCCAAGCAACCAUAAAAUAAAAUCAAAGUAAUACAGUACAAAUAGACUAAAACCAAAACAAUCUGGACUAAAACUCAUACAGAGCAAUUACAUAUAGUGGAUUUCAAACUUAAAAACUUUAAGUAUUCAAGAACCCGAGUCCAUUUUUAUUAACUGUGCUAAGGCUUUAUUGGCUCAUAACAAAUUUUUUUGUUUGUUUUUGUUUAUCAAAAAAUUAUUUGCUCAACAUAGCUUAAAUUAAUUUAUUUAUUGAAUUUUCUAAUUAGAUACCUCUAACAAGUGAGUCUUGCCUCAUAAAAAUAGAAUAAAAGUUUAAAUUGUGAAAAAUGCAAUUUUUAAAGACGCUCCUAAGUCCUGAGUCGAAAAGAAUUAGUUUAAAAUGGCUCGAGAUACCUUGGGUCUUCACAAAAACUAGCAAGGUAAAGGGCAUUGAAGCAGUCAAUGUAUGGGCAGAUUUACCAAGUAAUUUCCAUCAUUGCCUAUUUUGCUAUAUCCAAAGCAUACGAUGAAUCUGUACGUUAGAACAGGCUGGCCAGCCAGAAUGCUAGUUGCUUGUGGCUUUGCAUAACCAAAACUUCAGGAAACUAGUUUAGCAUUGUUGAUACGACAAAUCAACAAAGAGAAAAAGGUUGGAAGAGGUGAUCGACGGUUCACCCUUGAAAGGUAGAAAGCCGUCGUAAUGUAAUGAAGUGGUGGAAGAAGGUUGAAAGGAGGAGAGAAUCAAAACUUAGGUGAGAGUUCAUAUAGAGGUGCCACAUGUAAGGAUCAUGUUGGCUGUAAUGCCAGAUCUUGUUUCCAAAUAAAAGUAACAAUAUAACCCUAUAUAUUAGUGAUGUGACAUAAUAAGAUGGCUUAACAAACAAUGAUUGUCCCAUCACAAUUGGCAGAGGUAGUCUAUGACGAAGGUGCGCUCAAUGAUAUGACACGUGGAGGUGUUGCAGAAGUAGGUGUAACAAGCCGCAGAGGGACCAUGAACCGCUUAAAUUGUCUAGUGAAAUUCUAUCUGACGCCUGCAGAUUUGUUGCAAGGCUUAUUUCCUUUUAUUCAAUAUUUGUAAGACAAUUCUGCUAUCAUAUCAUCAGAUACAGUGAGCAAGUAUUGAGAAUGAAUGCAUUAGAAAAAGAAGAAACCAACAAAGGAUCUUAAUAACAAAUUUUUUUUCGAUCAUCUAUCAAAUAAUUCAUAGUAGCCAGAAAAGUUUGAGUUCUCUCUGCUUACAAUCGUACAAAGAAAACACAGAGCACCCUUACCUUAAGGGUUUCUCUUUAGAUCAAAAGCAACUGAACACCUUUCCGAUUUUGAAAUAUAUAAAUACACCAAGCAACCUUACCGGAUUCUUGAAUAUUUGUAGCAUAAACCAAUGCCGGCCUAGUCAUCUCUUCUCUUACUCUCAGCACACACCAGUAUUAGGCCAAUGGCUGGUUAUUGAACCAUGUGGUCCUUUUGGUUGUAGUUUAUCAAACUCGCAUUAUGAGCCAAUGUUACCAAGCUUUGAACAGCAGUGUAAAGAUUCAUUUCGACCAUGAAUUCCACCCCAAAGCACUAAACCAUACAGCGGAAGAGUAAAACAAAUAUCUGAGGCUCGAUUGACAGGAUAGUCCAAACCAACAUCUGAUUUUAGUGCAUUUGCUUCGUUUCUUUCAUUCCUCCUAAAACAUGGGAAGUAUUGGGCAAAUUUGGAAAAUUCAUACAAGACAAAGCUGAAGAUCAAUAGCAUGCUCGCAAUAAUACUACUGUUUCUUUUGUUUUCGAUAGCAUGCUCGCAAUAAUACUACUGUUUCUUUUGUUUUCGACUUGCUUUUUUUGGAUGAGUUGUUCCUUUACUUCUAUAAUCAUUUUGAGCCUGGAUCCAGUCAGAGUGAUACUUGUCAUCAUACGGAACAACCUUCCCAUCAAUGAACGGUUCUCCUGUAAAAUAACCACAAUGCACGUUAACACUCAACUGUUGUCAUAAAGGCAGGAGGAAUUGCAUGCGUGUGACCUUAAUAGAAAAUGGAGGAAGAAAUGCAUGCAUAUUAGAAUAGCAGAACAAAUGGAAACUCAUACUAAUCUGUCAAGAAAACCAUCCAACACAAAGUGUAUGCCAUUCAGCUCUAUCAACUGCUGCGCGUAAAAAAUUCUUCUACUGCCACCAUUUAUGUUAACUGAUAAUGAUUGCUAAGAAAAUAGAACUUAACACCUAAGAAGAAUGAGGAAAACAACAGUAAGCAUCAACAGUUUACUUCCGUAAUGUGAAAUGGAACACUUUGGGGCACAUGAACCACCACACUUCGAUGUCUCAAGGAUUCCCAUCUUCUUCUUUAAUAGCAACAGCAAUACCAACAAGUCCUAAUAGCUGUUAAGUAAUCAACUAGAGAAGCAUCAUCAUCAAUGCUUAAUGACAUUCACUCUACUGCCUUCCCAUUUGUCUUCCAAAAGUACUUUUUAUCAUCCUCAAAAGAAACGAAGUGAAAUUAUUAGUCAUUUUUUUCCCAGCAAUCAAGCAUAAGCAGGACCGGAGUAAUACAAUAGCUUAAUAACAGAGUAAUAAAGCAAAUGAGAAGCAAAGACACUGGAAAGCUAAAACUAACCUCCAUAGCUAUUAUCACCAGGGUCCCCCGAAUAAGAAUCUGGUAAAACCCAUUUCACAUUAGGCAGAGCUGCAACCAACCAACACAAUUCUGUAUUUACUUUACAAACUUGAAAAAGAACGAAUUUGCAAAGGAAAGAAAGACUCACUUUUAAUCUUAAAAACCAAAUCUUCUGGUACUUUGCAACCAAAUGCAUAAUAAUACUUGGUGGAAACAGAGUAUAUAGACUUCUUGGCAUCCUCUUCACUGCGUAUUAAUAGCAAAAAUAUAAAACAAAAAUGAAAAAAUACCCAUUUUAGGACUGCAAAAAGGGGAAAAAGGAGUACGGAUUUUGACCUUCCCAAAGCCAUUGCUAGGGUUUUAAUGUAGGUGUUAACGAUCUCAUCUCGAAGUGGGU
Molecule: long non-coding RNA, 22810 nt
Filed under: Gossypium barbadense (sea-island cotton)
Lineage: Eukaryota; Viridiplantae; Streptophyta; Magnoliopsida; Malvales; Malvaceae
Description: long non-coding RNA (GBAR_LNC008767)
Source: RNAcentral